RNAcentral lists this ribosomal RNA (325 nucleotides) under Vibrio parahaemolyticus. Its description in RNAcentral is "bacterial SSU rRNA". It matches the Rfam family "Bacterial small subunit ribosomal RNA", at positions 1 to 312 of the family's 1533-position model. Lineage: Bacteria; Pseudomonadati; Pseudomonadota; Gammaproteobacteria; Vibrionales; Vibrionaceae. The record is from RNAcentral.
AAAUUGAAGAGUUUGAUCAUGGCUCAGAUUGAACGCUGGCGGCAGGCCUAACACAUGCAAGUCGAGCGGAAACGAGUUAUCUGAACCUUCGGGGAACGAUAGCGGCGUCGAGCGGCGGACGGGUGAGUAAUGCCUAGGAAAUUGCCCUGAUGUGGGGGAUAACCAUUGGAAACGAUGGCUAAUACCGCAUGAUGCCUACGGGCCAAAGAGGGGGACCUUCGGGCCUCUCGCGUCAGGAUAUGCCUAGGUGGGAUUAGCUAGUUGGUGAGGUAAGGGCUCACCAAGGCGACGAUCCCUAGCUGGUCUGAGAGGAUGAUCAGCCACA